CCGCCGGUAGCUCAGUUGGUAGAGCAGUGGGAUGGUACCCCACGCACGGCCCUGGGUUCUAGUCCCGGCCGACGCU
Phthorimaea operculella (potato tuberworm) is the source of this 76-nucleotide non-coding RNA. The record is from the annotation of a GenBank genome assembly. Lineage: Eukaryota; Metazoa; Arthropoda; Insecta; Lepidoptera; Gelechiidae.